GACGAGUUAUAGUCUCGUGAGGGUUUCCAGUGAAGAUACCCACAAACUUCAAUAUUAAAAUAAAUCAUUUAUUGUCAUGAUUAAAAAAAAAAAUUCGAUUGAUCUAUGAAGUGAAAAUCAAAUUCCAAAUGCAUACUAGCUAAGAAUUUCAAAAACUCCUCUUUUUUUUGAAAUCUAAUUUAAGAUACAUAAAUGAUAAGAAUUUCAAAGCACACACGGUUUUAUUUACUAAAUCAGCCCAAAUUCUAGGUUAAUAUGCAAUCUAAGUUAAAGUUAUUAAGUUUCUAUUUAGG
Molecule: long non-coding RNA, 293 nt
Filed under: Phoenix dactylifera (date palm)
Lineage: Eukaryota; Viridiplantae; Streptophyta; Magnoliopsida; Arecales; Arecaceae
Description: long non-coding RNA (PDAC_LNC012268)
Source: RNAcentral